This 378-nucleotide ribosomal RNA is filed under the name uncultured bacterium. Its description in RNAcentral is "bacterial SSU rRNA". It matches the Rfam family "Bacterial small subunit ribosomal RNA", at positions 28 to 407 of the family's 1533-position model. The record is from RNAcentral.
GACGAACGCUGGCGGCGUGCUUAACACAUGCAAGUCGAGCGGUAAGGCCCUUUCGGGGGUACACGAGCGGCGAACGGGUGAGUAACACGUGGGUGACCUGCCCUCAGCUCUGGGAUAAGCCUGGGAAACUGGGUCUAAUACUGGAUAUGACUCCACGGUGCAUGUCGUGGGGUGGAAAGCCUUGUGCGGCUGAGGAUGGGCCCGCGGCCUAUCAGCUUGUUGGUGGGGNGAUGGCCUACCAAGGCGACGACGGGUAGCCGGCCUGAGAGGGCGACCGGCCACACUGGGACUGAGACACGGCCCAGACUCCUACGGGAGGCAGCAGUGGGGAAUCUUGCGCAAUGGGCGAAAGCCUGACGCAGCGACGCCGCGUGAGGG